RNAcentral lists this long non-coding RNA (1385 nucleotides) under Eutrema salsugineum. RNAcentral's name for it is "long non-coding RNA (ESAL_LNC001892)". Lineage: Eukaryota; Viridiplantae; Streptophyta; Magnoliopsida; Brassicales; Brassicaceae. The record is from RNAcentral.
UUAAAAUAUCCAAAAUUAUAAUUAGAAAUAUGAAGAUUAGUUAUAUUACAAAGGUAGAAUAUAAUGAUGGUUAAUACUGAAUAGAUAGUUGAUUAUCGAGAUAGGAUUGCUAAUACAUAGCCUACGUUUUAGGCCCCUUUCUUACUUUGCUUCUCCUCUGCCCUACUCGGGAACCAAACCCUUCAAAUUAUUCAAUUUCUUAACUAAGCACCCUCAUUUCUCUACUACGGUGGAAUUACUUGGACUCAACCCGGUGCUAUAAUCUCUGACAUGGCCUCACUGAACGCAAAGCUAACAGAUCAAAAAGAAGCUUAAAAUCACUAAGUAGAGAUUAUUAUUCUGAUAUCCAGAGAAGAGUGAAAGAGACUAACAAUUUGUUGAAGACAUUGCAGGUACAAGCCCUCCAAGAUCCGUCUACUGAACUUUUUCUCAAAAUAUACAUGAAUUGGUCCAACCCGAGAUGUAUUGAAGAAGAGUACUUUAAGUAGAUCUCGCAUAAUCUGGCUCAAGACUGGUGACCAGACACUACCUUCUUUCUUAUUAUCACCGAAUUACGUAACUCCUUGAACCCAAUAUGAGGGAGUUAUAACCACUGGCUCAGGAGAGUUUUGGAACUUCUUCUCUUCCUCCAGCUUCUUGCAACACAAGGCUUGUCCGCACUCUUUCAUAUCCAAGUGCAGCUCUUCUUUGAAGAAUUAUAUAGUGUGUCUCCCCUCAAAAACUGAGAUCACCUCGAAGGUAAGGUUCAUGAACCCAAAUAAGGCCCCUGGACCUGAAGGCUAUCUUCUAAUCACCUAACUAUUGCUUAGGGCAUCUUAGGAUAUGACUUCAUCAAAUGAGUUUCUCACUUUUUCACCUCUAAUGCCUAAAGCUACCAACUCAACAAUCCUUACCUUGGUUCCCAAAAACUCAUGGGCCUUUUCUAUCUCUGAUUACAUACCAAUAUCUUUAUAAGGUGAUAUCCAAGCUUUUGCUUUUCAGGUUGAAGCUGAUAGUCUCUGAUGUAGUCAUUAAAAAAACAUCGUUUGUCAAAGACAGAUUACUACUGAAAAUUGUCCUAUGUCAACUAAAAUAGUCAAUAAUUCUCACAUGUCAAAAGGCCCUAAAAAGCUUUACCUUAGAUCAUUGCAACAUAUGUAAAAGAAAUCAAAACAAUACCUUGGUAGUUGAAGCAGACAAACUACAAGGUGACUUCAAAUCACUUGCUUUUGGUGGAAAAACCGUAAGGUUCUCAAAAAAUUUUAAACUUUUUUCAUAGUAAAAAAGAAAUAGCUUCUCUCCCGAGAAAAAUGGAGUUGGCUCCAGCAAGGAAAGGACUCUACCCGCUGAUAACCUCACCAUUGCUUUCGGUAUCACUAUGCAUGUGUUGCAAUGAUGAUCAUCUC